UUAUAAAUGAUCUUGACAUUCUUUUUACUUUACAUAAAAUAUUCCUUACAUUCUACUGUUGUUUUAUUGCCAUUUAUUUACAAGUAUUAUAAAUUUUAUGGGUAAAAUAUUUCUCUGGGAACGAAUUACGGUUUAUAACAUUGGACAUGAAACUAGCUUACAAAGA
This is a long non-coding RNA of Octopus sinensis (East Asian common octopus), 166 nucleotides long. RefSeq lists it as uncharacterized. The transcript has 4 exons. Lineage: Eukaryota; Metazoa; Mollusca; Cephalopoda; Octopoda; Octopodidae. The record is from RefSeq and is a predicted model, not a curated record.